AGAGUUUGAUCCUGGCUCAGGAUGAACGCUAGCGGCAGGCUUAACACAUGCAAGUCGAGGGGCAGCGGGGAGGAAGCUUGCUUUCUCCGCCGGCGACCGGCGCACGGGUGAGUAACACGUAUGCAACCUGCCCCUGUCAGGGGGACAACCCGCCGAAAGGCGGGCUAAACCCGCGUACAUGCCACCGGGGCAUCCCGGAGGCAGGAAAGGCUUCGGCCGGACAGGGAUGGGCAUGCGGCGCAUUAGGCAGUAGGCGGGGUAACGGCCCACCUAACCGACGAUGCGUAGGGGUUCUGAGAGGAAGGUCCCCCACACUGGUACUGAGACACGGACCAGACUCCUACGGGAGGCAGCAGUGAGGAAUAUUGGUCAAUGGUCGGGAGACUGAACCAGCCAAGCCGCGUGAGGGAUGAAGGUACAGAGUAUCGUAAACCUCUUUUGUCAGGGAACAAAGGCGGGGACGCGUCCCCGGAUGAGUGUACCUGAAGAAAAAGCAUCGGCUAACUCCGUGCCAGCAGCCGCGGUAAUACGGAGGAUGCGAGCGUUAUCCGGAUUUAUUGGGUUUAAAGGGUGCGCAGGCGGUCUGUUAAGUCAGCGGUCAAAGCCCGGGGCUCAACCCCGGCCCGCCGUUGAAACUGGCAGUCUCGAGUUGGAGAGAAGUAUGCGGAAUGCGCGGUGUAGCGGUGAAAUGCAUAGAUAUCGCGCAGAACUCCGAUUGCGAAGGCAGCAUGCCGGCUCCACACUGACGCUGAGGCACGAAAGCGUGGGUAUCGAACAGGAUUAGAUACCCUGGUAGUCCACGCAGUAAACGAUGAAUGCUGGCUGUCCGGGGGGACUGACCCCUGGGUGGCGAAGCGAAAGCGAUAAGCAUUCCACCUGGGGAGUACGCCGGCAACGGUGAAACUCAAAGGAAUUGACGGGGGCCCGCACAAGCGGAGGAACAUGUGGUUUAAUUCGAUGAUACGCGAGGAACCUUACCCGGGCUCAAACGGGGAGUGACUCAGGCAGAGACGCCUGUUUCCCACGGGACACUCCCCGAGGUGCUGCAUGGUUGUCGUCAGCUCGUGCCGUGAGGUGUCGGCUUAAGUGCCAUAACGAGCGCAACCCCCGCGUGCAGUUGCUAACAGAUAACGCUGAGGACUCUGCACGGACUGCCGGCGCAAGCCGCGAGGAAGGCGGGGAUGACGUCAAAUCAGCACGGCCCUUACGUCCGGGGCGACACACGUGUUACAAUGGGUGGUACAGCGGGAAGCCAGGCGGCGACGCCGAGCGGAACCCGAAAUCCACUCUCAGUUCGGAUCGGAGUCUGCAACCCGACUCCGUGAAGCUGGAUUCGCUAGUAAUCGCGCAUCAGCCAUGGCGCGGUGAAUACGUUCCCGGGCCUUGUACUCACCGCCCGUCAAG
RNAcentral lists this ribosomal RNA (1404 nucleotides) under uncultured bacterium. Its description in RNAcentral is "partial 16S ribosomal RNA". It matches the Rfam family "Bacterial small subunit ribosomal RNA". The record is from RNAcentral.